GUUAAGCGACUAAGCGUACACGGUGGAUGCCCUGGCAGUCAGAGGCGAUGAAGGACGUGCUAAUCUGCGAUAAGCGUCGGUAAGGUGAUAUGAACCGUUAUAACCGGCGAUUUCCGAAUGGGGAAACCCAGUGUGUUUCGACACACUAUCAUUAACUGAAUCCAUAGGUUAAUGAGGCGAACCGGGGGAACUGAAACAUCUAAGUACCCCGAGGAAAAGAAAUCAACCGAGAUUCCCCCAGUAGCGGCGAGCGAACGGGGAGCAGCCCAGAGCCUGAAUCAGUGUGUGUGUUAGUGGAAGCGUCUGGAAAGGCGCGCGAUACAGGGUGACAGCCCCGUACACAAAAAUGCACAUGCUGUGAGCUCGAUGAGUAGGGCGGGACACGUGGUAUCCUGUCUGAAUAUGGGGGGACCAUCCUCCAAGGCUAAAUACUCCUGACUGACCGAUAGUGAACCAGUACCGUGAGGGAAAGGCGAAAAGAACCCCGGCGAGGGGAGUGAAAAAGAACCUGAAACCGUGUACGUACAAGCAGUGGGAGCACGCUUAGGCGUGUGACUGCGUACCUUUUGUAUAAUGGGUCAGCGACUUAUAUUCUGUAGCAAGGUUAACCGAAUAGGGGAGCCGAAGGGAAACCGAGUCUUAACUGGGCGUUAAGUUGCAGGGUAUAGACCCGAAACCCGGUGAUCUAGCCAUGGGCAGGUUGAAGGUUGGGUAACACUAACUGGAGGACCGAACCGACUAAUGUUGAAAAAUUAGCGGAUGACUUGUGGCUGGGGGUGAAAGGCCAAUCAAACCGGGAGAUAGCUGGUUCUCCCCGAAAGCUAUUUAGGUAGCGCCUCGUGAAUUCAUCUCCGGGGGUAGAGCACUGUUUCGGCAAGGGGGUCAUCCCGACUUACCAACCCGAUGCAAACUGCGAAUACCGGAGAAUGUUAUCACGGGAGACACACGGCGGGUGCUAACGUCCGUCGUGAAGAGGGAAACAACCCAGACCGCCAGCUAAGGUCCCAAAGUCAUGGUUAAGUGGGAAACGAUGUGGGAAGGCCCAGACAGCCAGGAUGUUGGCUUAGAAGCAGCCAUCAUUUAAAGAAAGCGUAAUAGCUCACUGGUCGAGUCGGCCUGCGCGGAAGAUGUAACGGGGCUAAACCAUGCACCGAAGCUGCGGCAGCGACGCUUAUGCGUUGUUGGGUAGGGGAGCGUUCUGUAAGCCUGCGAAGGUGUGCUGUGAGGCAUGCUGGAGGUAUCAGAAGUGCGAAUGCUGACAUAAGUAACGAUAAAGCGGGUGAAAAGCCCGCUCGCCGGAAGACCAAGGGUUCCUGUCCAACGUUAAUCGGGGCAGGGUGAGUCGACCCCUAAGGCGAGGCCGAAAGGCGUAGUCGAUGGGAAACAGGUUAAUAUUCCUGUACUUGGUGUUACUGCGAAGGGGGGACGGAGAAGGCUAUGUUGGCCGGGCGACGGUUGUCCCGGUUUAAGCGUGUAGGCUGGUUUUCCAGGCAAAUCCGGAAAAUCAAGGCUGAGGCGUGAUGACGAGGCACUACGGUGCUGAAGCAACAAAUGCCCUGCUUCCAGGAAAAGCCUCUAAGCAUCAGGUAACAUCAAAUCGUACCCCAAACCGACACAGGUGGUCAGGUAGAGAAUACCAAGGCGCUUGAGAGAACUCGGGUGAAGGAACUAGGCAAAAUGGUGCCGUAACUUCGGGAGAAGGCACGCUGAUAUGUAGGUGAAGUCCCUCGCGGAUGGAGCUGAAAUCAGUCGAAGAUACCAGCUGGCUGCAACUGUUUAUUAAAAACACAGCACUGUGCAAACACGAAAGUGGACGUAUACGGUGUGACGCCUGCCCGGUGCCGGAAGGUUAAUUGAUGGGGUCAGCGCAAGCGAAGCUCUUGAUCGAAGCCCCGGUAAACGGCGGCCGUAACUAUAACGGUCCUAAGGUAGCGAAAUUCCUUGUCGGGUAAGUUCCGACCUGCACGAAUGGCGUAAUGAUGGCCAGGCUGUCUCCACCCGAGACUCAGUGAAAUUGAACUCGCUGUGAAGAUGCAGUGUACCCGCGGCAAGACGGAAAGACCCCGUGAACCUUUACUAUAGCUUGACACUGAACAUUGAGCCUUGAUGUGUAGGAUAGGUGGGAGGCUUUGAAGUGUGGACGCCAGUCUGCAUGGAGCCGACCUUGAAAUACCACCCUUUAAUGUUUGAUGUUCUAACGUUGACCCGUAAUCCGGGUUGCGGACAGUGUCUGGUGGGUAGUUUGACUGGGGCGGUCUCCUCCUAAAGAGUAACGGAGGAGCACGAAGGUUGGCUAAUCCUGGUCGGACAUCAGGAGGUUAGUGCAAUGGCAUAAGCCAGCUUGACUGCGAGCGUGACGGCGCGAGCAGGUGCGAAAGCAGGUCAUAGUGAUCCGGUGGUUCUGAAUGGAAGGGCCAUCGCUCAACGGAUAAAAGGUACUCCGGGGAUAACAGGCUGAUACCGCCCAAGAGUUCAUAUCGACGGCGGUGUUUGGCACCUCGAUG
Molecule: ribosomal RNA, 2504 nt
Filed under: Escherichia coli
Lineage: Bacteria; Pseudomonadati; Pseudomonadota; Gammaproteobacteria; Enterobacterales; Enterobacteriaceae
Description: partial 23S ribosomal RNA
Rfam family: Bacterial large subunit ribosomal RNA
Source: RNAcentral